UUACUCUGUUGCCCCGGCUGGAGUGCAGUGGCAUAAUCUUGGUUCACUGCAACCUCCACUUUCUGGGUUCGGGCAAUUCUUACGUCUCAGUCUCCUAAGCAACUGGGGUUACAGGCACGCACCACUACACCUGGCUAAUUUUUGUAUUAUUAGUAGAGAUGCGGUUUUGCUAUGUUUGUCAGGCUUGGUCUUGAACUCAUGACCUCAAGUGAUCUGCCUGCCUCGGCCUCCUGAAAUGCUAGGAUUAUGUGUGUGUGACCGCACCUGGCCUAAAUUAAUUUUUGUUGGGGAUUUCCCUGCAGGACCACUGCACAUCGUUCGGGGUCAACCUUUCAGACACUCCCACAAGGUCCCCAGUCACUCAGGGGCACCUUUCAGUUGGGAGGGGCAAAUGCCCUUUCUUUUUGGAGCUGAGAAAACUCAGUCUCUGAUAUACCUAUGAAAGCAACAGUUCAGUUCCUCAUGCAAAUGCACACAGACAAACGGAAUUGAGAUUAAUGUUGGGAGAAAAAGCAAUAUAAAGGAUCCUUCAGAACGGAUCUCCAAACUAGAAUUAGGAUUUUUUUUUUUUUUUGAGAUGGAGUCUCGCUCUGUCGCCCAGGCUGAGUGCAGUGGCACGAUCUCGGCACAGUGCAACUUCCACCUCCCUGGUUCAAGCAAUUGCCCUACCUCAGCCUUCGAAUAGCUGGGAUUACAGGUGCACACCACCAGGCCCGGCUAAUCUUGAACUUGUGGGGUCAAGUGGUCCGCCCGCCUCAGCCUCCCAAAGUGCUGGGAUUACAGGUGUGAACCACCGCACCUGGCCUAGAAUUAGGAUUCUUAAACAACGACUUCCUAGGAGAGAAAAUUAAAAAAAAAAAAAAAAAAAAAAAAGGAAACAGCCAAAACCACUUCCUAUAAACUGUGCUCAGCCACCCGUAACUUUGUAGCUCUUUUCCAACAAUAUACACACCAAGGUCAAAUCCUCUCACAGUGCAAGGUCAUCUCUGGCACCCAAAGCCAAAAAGGUCAGGUCAUGCAAUACAGGAAAACAGAGCUUUAGACCUAAGAAGAAUCUGCCCAUGACUCUUGAAAUCCCACAAAGCCAAGAGAACACCCCAAAAGGGGGUGAGUGGCACCUUUGU
RNAcentral lists this long non-coding RNA (1124 nucleotides) under Homo sapiens (human). RNAcentral's name for it is "non-protein coding lnc-UNC13B-1:1". The record is from RNAcentral. Lineage: Eukaryota; Metazoa; Chordata; Mammalia; Primates; Hominidae.